This 327-nucleotide ribosomal RNA is filed under the name uncultured eukaryote. RNAcentral describes it as "partial 18S ribosomal RNA". It matches the Rfam family "Eukaryotic small subunit ribosomal RNA", at positions 1470 to 1796 of the family's 1831-position model. The record is from RNAcentral.
CCCUUAGAUGUUCUGGGCCACACGCGCGUUACACUGAUGAAGCCAGCGAGUAUAUCGCCUUCACCGGAAGGUGCGGGUAAUCUUGUGAAACUUCAUCGUGCUGGGGAUAGACCAUUGCAAUUAUUGGUCUUGAACGAGGAAUUCCUAGUAAGCAUGAGUCAUCAACUCGUGCUGAUUACGUCCCUGCCCUUUGUACACACCGCCCGUCGCUACUACCGAUUGAAUGGUUUAGUGAGAUCUCGGGAUUGGAGACGUUGCGCCGUAAGGCACAUCGUCCUCGAGAACUUGAUCAAACUUGAUCAUUUAGAGGAAGUAAAAGUCGUAACA